RNAcentral lists this ribosomal RNA (482 nucleotides) under uncultured bacterium. Its description in RNAcentral is "bacterial SSU rRNA". It matches the Rfam family "Bacterial small subunit ribosomal RNA", at positions 49 to 507 of the family's 1533-position model. The record is from RNAcentral.
UAACACAUGCAAGUCGUACGAGAAAGUUGGCUUCGGCCGAUGAGUAAAGUGGCGCACGGGUGAGUAACGCGUGGAUAAUCUACCCCUCAGUUGGGAAUAACUCAUCGAAAGGUGGGCUAAUACCGAAUAAUACUGCAUGACUUCUGUUGUGUAGUCAAAGAUGGCCUCUGCUUGCAAGCUAUCGCUGAAGGAUGAGUCCGCGUACCAUUAGCUAGUUGGUAGGGUAAUGGCCUACCAAGGCAACGAUGGUUAGCUGGUCUGAGAGGAUGAUCAGCCACACUGGAACUGAGACACGGUCCAGACUCCUACGGGAGGCAGCAGUGAGGAAUAUUGCGCAAUGGGGGCAACCCUGACGCAGCAACGCCGCGUGAGUGAGGAAGGUUUUCGGACCGUAAAGCUCUGUCGAGCGGGAAGAAAUGCAUAGUGGCUAAUAUCCAUUAUGCUUGACGGUACCGCUAAAGGAAGCACCGGCUAACUCCGUG